This 758-nucleotide ribosomal RNA is filed under the name uncultured bacterium. Its description in RNAcentral is "bacterial SSU rRNA". It matches the Rfam family "Bacterial small subunit ribosomal RNA", at positions 8 to 796 of the family's 1533-position model. The record is from RNAcentral.
AGAGUUUGAUCAUGGCUCAGAACGAACGCUGGCGGCAUGCCUAACACAUGCAAGUCGGACGCUUUUGAGGUUUCGGCCUCGGGAGUGGCGGACGGGUGAGUAGCGCGUGGGAACCUGCCCCUUUGUGGGGGAUAACCGAGGGAAACUUCGGCUAAUACCGCAUGCGCCCCGGAGCAAUCCGGGGGAAAGAUUUAUCGCAGAGGGAGGGGCCCGCGUCGGAUUAGGUAGUUGGUGGGGUAACGGCCUACCAAGCCUGUGAUCCGUAGCUGGUCUGAGAGGAUGAUCAGCCACACUGGGACUGAGACACGGCCCAGACUCCUACGGGAGGCAGCAGUGGGGAAUAUUGGACAAUGGGCGCAAGCCUGAUCCAGCAAUGCCGCGUGAGUGAUGAAGGCCUUAGGGUUGUAAAGCUCUUUCGGCGGGGACGAUGAUGACGGUACCCGCAGAAGAAGCCCCGGCUAACUUCGUGCCAGCAGCCGCGGUAAUACGAAGGGGGCGAGCGUUGUUCGGAUUUACUGGGCGUAAAGGGCGCGUAGGCGGCGGACCAAGUCGAGUGUGAAAGCCCCGGGCUCAACCUGGGAGGUGCGCUCGAGACUGGUCUGCUAGAGUUCGGGAGAGGAGCGUGGAAUUCCCAGUGUAGAGGUGAAAUUCGUAGAUAUUGGGAAGAACACCGGUGGCGAAGGCGGCGCUCUGGACCGAGACUGACGCUGAGGCGCGAAAGCGUGGGGAGCAAACAGGAUUAGAUACCCUAGUAGUCC